RNAcentral lists this ribosomal RNA (484 nucleotides) under uncultured bacterium. RNAcentral's name for it is "partial 16S ribosomal RNA". It matches the Rfam family "Bacterial small subunit ribosomal RNA", at positions 30 to 507 of the family's 1533-position model. The record is from RNAcentral.
AUUGAACGCUGGCGGCAGGCCUAACACAUGCAAGUCGAGCGGAUGAAGGGAGCUUGCUCCUGGAUUCAGCGGCGGACGGGUGAGUAAUGCCUAGGAAUCUGCCUGGUAGUGGGGGAUAACGUCCGGAAACGGGCGCUAAUACCGCAUACGUCCUGAGGGAGAAAGUGGGGGAUCUUCGGACCUCAUGCUAUCAGAUGAGCCUAGGUCGGAUUAGCUAGUUGGUGGGGUAAAGGCCUACCAAGGCGACGAUCCGUAACUGGUCUGAGAGGAUGAUCAGUCACACUGGAGCUGAGACACGGUCCAGACUCCUACGGGAGGCAGCAGUGGGGAAUAUUGGACAAUGGGCGAAAGCCUGAUCCAGCCAUGCCGCGUGUGUGAAGAAGGUCUUCGGAUUGUAAAGCACUUUAAGUUGGGAGGAAGGGCAGUAAGUUAAUACCUUGCUGUUUUGACGUUACCAACAGAAUAAGCACCGGCUAACUUCGUG